Molecule: long non-coding RNA, 1288 nt
Organism: Monodelphis domestica (gray short-tailed opossum)
Lineage: Eukaryota; Metazoa; Chordata; Mammalia; Didelphimorphia; Didelphidae
Source: RefSeq, a predicted model, not a curated record
GUUGAGAGGUGGGUGGGGUAGAAGAGAGGAAGGAGAAGAGGGAAGCUGACCGCCUUGCUUAUCUCUUUUCUGUUUCCUUCCUUUUGUAUCAGGGACUGGCACAUGUGCAGAGUACAAAGUGCCUCUGAUUAUGUUUCUUUCUAUGGAGAGGCCAAAGAGUCGGCUUCUGGGAAGUUCUGAUGAUUUGUAAUAGAAGUGCCUCGCAUAGACCGAAAUUCCCAAACCGGCUCCUGUCUGCCGACCACCUGGCCAAAGGCUGCCUCUUUCAGUUGGUUGAUAAAGCCAGGAAGCUGGGAUGUUCGGAUCCUGGGAUUCCUGGAUGCCACCUUCCUGACCUCUCAAACUGGACAACCAGAGCCUGCAAUCCCCUCACCUAGAACAGAAAGAAAAAACAAAUGCCCAGGUCAAGGACUUUUCAUCUCUCUUGGCGGCUCCACUGGAAGCACUGUUUCUUACCCGGUACAGGAAGUAAAGGAAGCCGACAAAGAAGGGAUGAGGCGACCAGCUAAGGCUUUUUGAAGUUCCCGUUCUGUGACUAGCUGAAAAAGGAAGAAGAGAGAUAAUCUGGACCCUGUCCAAAGGAACAUUACUAGGAUGGUUGGAAAAUUGUAAACGAACCAGGGAUGUUUGAAGAAGAGGAGAUAUUGGGGAGGACUCUCCAAUAAGGUGAGGUGGUGUCGUGUGUCAGAGGCAGCAAUAAAGAACUAAAACAACCAGAAUUAAAGGGAAAAUGGGAUGACUGUCAGGAUGCUCAGAGAUUAUUACAGUGAAUUAAGAAGGAAGUCUAAGACCGUAUGCAAAUAUAAACUAUAUUUUUCAUUUCAUUAUAUUUUGGCAUCAAAUUGAAAAGCCACUUGUUGCACUAACGACCACUGUUAGCGAUUUCUUUUUAAAUGAUAAGCAGAAAACUGUAACAGAUGAUCAAUCUCAGAAUCACAGACUCUCCCAGUUGGAAGGAGCCACCAUGGAGGCCAUACCUGGACCAGAAUCCUCUUUACCAAAAUUUGAUGAAUGUCUCUGCUUGAAGACCCCCAGGGAAAAGAAUGCUUGAAGACCUCCCAAAGCAGCCCAUCAGACAAUACCAACAUAGAAGAGCAGAAGGACUUCACUGGUCCCAGACAAAAAACACACAAAUGUAUAUGCACUAUUCCCCGCUUCCCCAUACACAAAGGCAAGAAAUGAAAUAAGUCAUCAAUUAAACUUCAGCUUUUAAUUUUGGAACCUAAACAUCGACUACAGGUGGAAUGGGACAUUCUCCAAAAAUAAAGCUUUAGUCAAAAUCCUGAAA